Molecule: long non-coding RNA, 481 nt
Filed under: Hordeum vulgare
Lineage: Eukaryota; Viridiplantae; Streptophyta; Magnoliopsida; Poales; Poaceae
Description: long non-coding RNA (HVUL_LNC005715)
Source: RNAcentral
GGGUUCUAGGGUUUGUGCGCGAACGAACGGGGGACGAGAUCAGAGAAGAGGGCGGGCUCCGGGCUGGCGAAGAGGAGAGGAGUGCUCUCCGGAGAACGCUCACCUCGAGUCGCCGCUGUCGCCGCCCCUGGUCGCGGCCGGCGUCGCGCGGAGCUCGCCCUCGGUGGUACGUGAGGGCGGAGAAGUGGGGGGGAUGCGGCCGGGGACAAGCAGGAAGCAGGGGCGCCUGGGCCUUGUUCGCCGUUGCCGCCGGUCGCCGCGGGUCAGGCGUCGGCUGGAAGGGCGGGGGUGGAGGGUGGGGCGUACGGCGGAGUUGGAGACGAACGCGGCCGGCUGUUUCCGUUGGGUUCACUGGGGCAGGGGCAACCAGGUAAUUGCGGGUUGCGGUGAGGGAGUGCGGGGGCGGGUGUCAGUGAGGUGGCGUUGGCGGCUUGGGGCACCGGAGGCGCGGCGGCGUGGGCGUUCGAUGGGUCGGUUGAAA